RNAcentral lists this unclassified non-coding RNA (253 nucleotides) under uncultured fungus. Its description in RNAcentral is "sequence contains ITS1". The record is from RNAcentral. Lineage: Eukaryota; Fungi.
GUUCAGUGGUUGAGUUUGUUUCAGUUUCAUUGAGUUUGGUUAGGUACGAUAGAGGAGAAACAGAGCUUCUUCCCUACCUUACUAGUCGCGCGAGUCUUACGAGAAGACCACCACUAGUUCUGCGCUGCAGAGAGCCUCUGCUAACUCCUCGCGGAGUUAGCGACUCCAGCUCGAGCCGAAACUCUCGCUCGUUGUCUCUCGACUAUCGUCGAUACAACUGGUAAUGAUCCUUCCGCAGGUUCACCUACGGAAA